Suricata suricatta (meerkat) is the source of this 391-nucleotide long non-coding RNA. RefSeq lists it as uncharacterized. NCBI's taxonomy places the organism in Eukaryota, Metazoa, Chordata, Mammalia, Carnivora, Herpestidae. The transcript is spliced from 3 exons. The record is from RefSeq and is a predicted model, not a curated record.
UGCGCGAGAAUAGAUUAGGCAAGAAAUGAUGAUUCAGCACCUGCCGCUUCCUGCCAUGUGCUAAAUGAUCAGUUUAGUCUCAAUCAGCAGACAGAGAAAGAAAAAGCCUGGAAGAGAGACAAGAAGAUUCACACCGGAAAACGGAAGAAUGACAGAGAUCCGCAACUCAGAAAUUCUCAUUUAGGUUUGGGUCUCUUAAACCAGACGGGGAGCUAGCUGCUGUGUGCGUAUCAGAGGAGAGAUUCUAAAGCCGUCCAUCUAACGCUAUCCUAAGUUUCUUCAACAAGGGAAAAAGAAAAUCCUUCUGGCAAUUGAGAAAAAUGAUGCAUCAGUGCCUCGACCACACAGAGCCCAGGAUGCGACAGGGCUAAGCAGCUGGACAGCACAAGAG